This 321-nucleotide ribosomal RNA is filed under the name uncultured eukaryote. RNAcentral's name for it is "partial 18S ribosomal RNA". It matches the Rfam family "Eukaryotic small subunit ribosomal RNA", at positions 1470 to 1796 of the family's 1831-position model. The record is from RNAcentral.
CCCUUAGAUGUUCUGGGCCGCACGCGCGCUACACUGACAUGUUCAACAAGCCUCCUAGUUCGACAGGAUUUGGGAAAUCUUUGAACGCCUGUCGUGAUAGGGAUAGAUCAUUGCAAUUAUUGAUCUUGAACGAGGAAUUCCUAGUAAACGCGAGUCAUCAGCUCGCAUUGAUUACGUCCCUGCCCUUUGUACACACCGCCCGUCGCACCUACCGAUUGAAUGUUUCGGUGAAGAUUCCGGAUAGGACUUUUUUGAUUUAUUUCAAUUUUGUCUUAAAAGCUAUCUAAACCUCAACAUUUAGAGGAAGGUGAAGUCGUAACA